Molecule: ribosomal RNA, 463 nt
Filed under: uncultured bacterium
Lineage: Bacteria
Description: partial 16S ribosomal RNA
Rfam family: Bacterial small subunit ribosomal RNA
Source: RNAcentral
GAUGAACGCUGACAGAAUGCUUAACACAUGCAAGUCGAUGGGGAAGUGGUGCUUGCACCCUGGCAACCAUGGCGGACGGGUGAGUAACGCGUAAGGGACUUACCUGCAGGACUGGGAUAACAGGGGGAAACUCCUGACAAGACCGGAUAAUGUCAUGGAGCUGCAUGGAUUUAUGAUGAAAGGAGACGCCUGCGGAGAGCCUUGCGUCCUAUUAGCUAGUUGGUGAGGUAAUGGCUCACCAAGGCGAAGAUAGGUAGCCGGCCUGAGAGGGUGGACGGCCACAAGGGGACUGAGAUACGGCCCUUACUCCUACGGGAGGCAGCAGUGGGGAAUAGUGGACAAUGGGGGCAACCCUGAUCCAGCAAUUCUGUGUGCACGAAGAAGGUUUUCGGAUUGUAAAGUGCUUUCAGCAGGGAAGAAGUAAGUGACGGUACCUGCAGAAGAAGCGACGGCUAAAUACGUG